GUGCUGCUAUAAGGUUGUCCUGAUAUAAGAUUUACCUCUGAUAUUAAAAAGAUUGUUCUAGUACAAGAUUGAUCGAUUUUGAAAAUUAUUUUUAAAAUUUUUAAAUCAAUCUUUUAGAUAUAAAAAUAGAUGUAUAUGAUAUAUCUUUAUUCAUAUUUAGAUCUGAAAUUAGAAUGAUUAAAGAAUGCAUUGAACUGCUAUAAGAUUGUCUU
RNAcentral lists this long non-coding RNA (212 nucleotides) under Elaeis guineensis (African oil palm). Its description in RNAcentral is "long non-coding RNA (EGUI_LNC035048)". Lineage: Eukaryota; Viridiplantae; Streptophyta; Magnoliopsida; Arecales; Arecaceae. The record is from RNAcentral.